GAUGAACGCUAGCUACAGGCUUAACACAUGCAAGUCGCGGGGCAGCAUGGGGGUUGCUUGCAAUCCCCGAUGGCGACCGGCGCACGGGUGAGUAACGCGUAUCCAACCUGCCCUUCACCACGGGAUAACCCGGCGAAAGUCGGACUAAUACCGUAUGUUGUCCGUUGACGGCAUCCGAUUUGGACGAAAGGGUUGGCGGGGAAGGAUGGGGAUGCGUCCGAUUAGCUGGACGGCGGGGUGACGGCCCACCGUGGCGACGAUCGGUAGGGGUUCUGAGAGGAAGGUCCCCCACACUGGAACUGAGACACGGUCCAGACUCCUACGGGAGGCAGCAGUGAGGAAUAUUGGUCAAUGGGCGUAAGCCUGAACCAGCCAAGUAGCGUGCAGGAUGACGGCCCUAUGGGUUGUAAACUGCUUUUAUGCGGGGAUAAAGUGGCCCACGUGUGGGUUUUUGCAGGUACCGCAUGAAUAAGGACCGGCUAAUUCCGUG
RNAcentral lists this ribosomal RNA (490 nucleotides) under uncultured bacterium. RNAcentral describes it as "partial 16S ribosomal RNA". It matches the Rfam family "Bacterial small subunit ribosomal RNA", at positions 28 to 507 of the family's 1533-position model. The record is from RNAcentral.